UUUUGGACAAUGGGCGAAAGCCUGAUCCAGCAAUGCCGCGUGCAGGAAGAAGGCCUUCGGGUUGUAAACUGCUUUUGUACGGAACGAAACGGCCCUUUCUAAUAAAGAGGGCUAAUGACGGUACCGUAAGAAUAAGCACCGGCUAACUACGUGCCAGCAGCCGCGGUAAUACGUAGGGUGCGAGCGUUAAUCGGAAUUACUGGGCGUAAAGCGUGCGCAGGCGGUUCUAUAAGACAGAUGUGAAAUCCCCGGGCUCAACCUGGGAAUGGCAUUUGUGACUGUAGAGCUAGAGUACGGUAGAGGGGGAUGGAAUUCCGCGUGUAGCAGUGAAAUGCGUAGAUAUGCGGAGGAACACCGAUGGCGAAGGCAAUCCCCUGACCUGUACUGACGCUCAUGCACGAAG
This 403-nucleotide ribosomal RNA is filed under the name uncultured bacterium. Its description in RNAcentral is "bacterial SSU rRNA". It matches the Rfam family "Bacterial small subunit ribosomal RNA", at positions 362 to 758 of the family's 1533-position model. The record is from RNAcentral.